GAAGAAGCCAGAAAGAUCUUAUUCGCCCCUCUUCCUUACAGCAGUAAGGAGUUCCCAACUUAGAGGGGGGAAUGAAGCCAGAUUUAAAGUUAGGUAGUCAGUGUAGUUAGGUAAAUCGGGUCUAAUAUCGAGUGAAAUCUAAAAUGGAGGCCAGGGGCUGGGGAUGUGGCUCAAGCGGCAGCGAGCUCGCCUGGCAUGGGUGCGACCCGGGUUCGAUCCUCAGCACCACAUACAACAAAGAUGUUGUGUCUGCCGAAAACUAAAAUGUAAAUAAAAUAUUUAUCAAAAAAAUAAAAAAAUAAAAAAAUAAAAUGGAGGCCAUGCUGGCAAUGAUUCCAGGAAACGCAGGACAACUCAUGGAAUGUUAAUGAAGUCCCGAAAAGGCCCUAGGCCAAAGUCCACCUCAAAGAAAUGUUAAUGAACAGCCCCCAGCAAAAAGGUG
Molecule: long non-coding RNA, 442 nt
Filed under: Marmota monax (woodchuck)
Lineage: Eukaryota; Metazoa; Chordata; Mammalia; Rodentia; Sciuridae
Source: RNAcentral